UUCUUCAAUAUACAGUGAAAAAUCAUUUUUCUUCCAUCCUUGAUUCUCUAUGCUUUCAUGGUAUUAGAGCUGACGAUCUUCGGACGCUUCUCCGUCAUCUAUUGUCACCUCUGUCAGGAUUGUAUUGAAGCUUUUUUUGAUAUUUGUGAGAGUUUUUGUUGUUGAUGAACUCACUCGAUGUGUAUCGAGCGGUAAAUUGGAGCUUUUACCGCUAUCCGUUGGUUGCAUCUUCCCUGGGUGGACGUUUUGGGUAGCUUUCCGACGUCCUCGACUUGAUUCCGGUGAGAUUUCAGAUUCUAGGGUUUACACUGUUCGGA
RNAcentral lists this long non-coding RNA (317 nucleotides) under Nicotiana benthamiana. RNAcentral describes it as "long non-coding RNA (NBEN_LNC010301)". Lineage: Eukaryota; Viridiplantae; Streptophyta; Magnoliopsida; Solanales; Solanaceae. The record is from RNAcentral.